RNAcentral lists this ribosomal RNA (550 nucleotides) under uncultured bacterium. RNAcentral's name for it is "bacterial SSU rRNA". It matches the Rfam family "Bacterial small subunit ribosomal RNA", at positions 355 to 896 of the family's 1533-position model. The record is from RNAcentral.
UAGGGAAUCUUCGGCAAUGGACGGAAAUCUGACCGAGCAACGCCGCGUGAGUGAAGAAGGUUUUCGGAUCGUAAAGCUCUGUUGUAAGAGAAGAACGAGUGUGAGAGUGGAAAGUUCACACUGUGACGGUAUCUUACCAGAAAGGGACGGCUAACUACGUGCCAGCAGCCGCGGUAAUACGUAGGUCCCGAGCGUUGUCCGGAUUUAUUGGGCGUAAAGCGAGCGCAGGCGGUUAGAUAAGUCUGAAGUUAAAGGCUGUGGCUUAACCAUAGUAGGCUUUGGAAACUGUUUAACUUGAGUGCAAGAGGGGAGAGUGGAAUUCCAUGUGUAGCGGUGAAAUGCGUAGAUAUAUGGAGGAACACCGGUGGCGAAAGCGGCUUUCUGGCUUGUAACUGACGCUGAGGCUCGAAAGCGUGGGGAGCAAACAGGAUUAGAUACCCUGGUAGUCCACGCUGUAAACGAUGAGUGCUAGGUGUUAGACCCUUUCCGGGGUUUAGUGCCGUAGCUAACGCAUUAAGCACUCCGCCUGGGGAGUACGACCGCAAGGUUG